GCAAACUUGGUCAUUUAGAGGAAGUAAAAGUCGUAACAAGGUCUCCGUUGGUGAACCAGCGGAGGGAUCAUUACCGAGUGCUCGCGCUCAAACCCCCCCGCGGACACGAGUCCCUUGCCUCGGCGGGAGCCCCCCCGGGGGCGCCCGCCGGGGGCCCGCCGUCGCAGGCUCUCAGCGGCCGACCGCCGCGCCCCGUCCUCUGAAUUAGCUUCCGAAACGAGUCAAAACUCUCAGCAACGGAUCUCUUGGUUCCGGCAUCGAUGAAGAACGCAGC
This 274-nucleotide unclassified non-coding RNA is filed under the name uncultured fungus. Its description in RNAcentral is "partial contains small subunit ribosomal RNA, internal transcribed spacer 1, and 5.8S ribosomal RNA". The stretch from base 1 to 73 matches the Rfam family "Eukaryotic small subunit ribosomal RNA", at positions 1759 to 1831 of the family's 1831-position model. The record is from RNAcentral. Lineage: Eukaryota; Fungi.